Molecule: small nuclear RNA, 199 nt
Organism: Magnolia sinica
Lineage: Eukaryota; Viridiplantae; Streptophyta; Magnoliopsida; Magnoliales; Magnoliaceae
Product: U2 spliceosomal RNA
Exons: 1
Source: RefSeq, a predicted model, not a curated record
CUACCUUUCUUGGCCUUUUGGCUAAGAUCAAAUGUAGUAUCUGUUCUUAUCAGUUUAAUAUGUGAUACAUGGCCCAUUGGGUCACAAGAUAUUAAAUUAUAAAUUUCUUGUGGGGUAGGUCCCACCACACUAGCUUGCUAGUGCGGUCCUUGAGCGUCACCCUUCUGUUCCACUAUUGCAUGGGUCUAGCACACCCCUC